This 352-nucleotide long non-coding RNA is filed under the name Gossypium barbadense (sea-island cotton). RNAcentral's name for it is "long non-coding RNA (GBAR_LNC014697)". Lineage: Eukaryota; Viridiplantae; Streptophyta; Magnoliopsida; Malvales; Malvaceae. The record is from RNAcentral.
CGAAGACCAUGUACCAAAGAAAAUGUCAUCAUCAUACCAGAAAAAAAAAUUAUUAUUGUAAUAAGUACAAUUUGUCCGGGCUCGAUUAAAAUCCAAAUAAAACAAAUAUAAAAACCAGUCCAAUAUUCGAAGGCCCAUUUUCAUGGCCCAAACCUAACUACCCAGAUGCAGGCCCAAAGCCUAGGCUUUACCCUAGCCCGAUUUCAGUAUGGCCCAGCGUAAGUAUUCAGAAGCAGUAGCCCUAGCCGCAUUCUGCUCAACGCCCCCAGCAGUCUCCAGCGUCGCCAGCAAGACUCUAAUCAGUGCACAUUUCGGAACCGACCACUCCCCACGAUACCUGCAAACACGGACU